This 235-nucleotide long non-coding RNA is filed under the name Sorghum bicolor (sorghum). RNAcentral describes it as "long non-coding RNA (SBIC_LNC011474)". Lineage: Eukaryota; Viridiplantae; Streptophyta; Magnoliopsida; Poales; Poaceae. The record is from RNAcentral.
UGCCGAGUAUGGUAGAGGCUUUGCCAAGUAUACGUAUUUGGGCCUUUGCCGAGUGACAGAACCACUCGGCAAAGCUCCUGUGUCCGGUAGUGUAUCAAGAAAGUUCUAUUGAAAUAGUUAGAAUGACUUGGGAUCGUGAUAGAUCGAACGCACGAGAUCUGAGAUCGUGAGUUCAAUAUCCUACGUGUGAAAAUUGCAUGACUUAUGAGUUAUAAGGCUAUCUGGGGUGGUCGUU